Molecule: ribosomal RNA, 409 nt
Filed under: uncultured fungus
Lineage: Eukaryota; Fungi
Description: eukaryotic LSU rRNA
Source: RNAcentral
AGAGUUAAAUAGUACGUGAAAUUGUUGAAAGGGAAACGAUUGAAGUCAGUCAUGCUAGUGAAAAAUCAGUUUGACGGGUUUUGAGUUUGGCAGUAGAGGCAGGGUCAAACCGUUUCUCUUUUGAACUUGGGAUUUGUUGGAUGUACUUUUUCUUUGGCAGGUCAGCGUCGGUUUCGGAGGUUGUAAAAUACUUGGGGGAAAGUAGCUCUGCUUCGGGAGAGUAUUAUAGACCCUGGGGGAUGCAGCCUGUGGGAUCGAGGAUUGCAGCAAAUGCCUUUGGCUUGUCGCCUGAUCUCUGGAUGUUACCUCUCUUGUGACAACAUUCUUGCCACCGGGGAGUACUAAUGCCCAUUAGGUUAGAACGUGAUUACAUUCGUUAAGGACGUUGGCGUAAUGGCUUUAAACGACC